UAUUACACAAACGCGGAGGCCUGAGAUUUUGAAAUAGAAUUUCUGCAGAAAUUUUGGCGUUUUCAUAAUACAAAUAUGGCAAAAUUGGAAGUACUCCGCCUUCUAUGGCAAAUGCUGUGGCGUAUCCCACCUUAGCUCUUUUUGAAAGUUUUGGCGAAGUAGAAAAUGAACAGCCUAAACCAAGAGGAGAAGCUGUGGCAAUCUAGUUGAUAUUAGAUGGACAAAAAGUAGAAGAAACUGAUAACAUAGGAGCCGCGAUACAGCUGCUCAUUUCGGCUUAAUUUAUAUUUAAUCGGACAUACCCUUCGCAUACGGCAUGUACACGGGAAUUUUUGUAGCUUUAUAUCUGCAACGUAUCUGCGAAAAAAGGAACCAGAGGAAAA
This is a long non-coding RNA of Belonocnema kinseyi, 383 nucleotides long. RefSeq lists it as uncharacterized. The transcript has 3 exons. The record is from RefSeq and is a predicted model, not a curated record. Lineage: Eukaryota; Metazoa; Arthropoda; Insecta; Hymenoptera; Cynipidae.